This 385-nucleotide ribosomal RNA is filed under the name Salmonella enterica subsp. enterica serovar Havana. Its description in RNAcentral is "bacterial SSU rRNA". It matches the Rfam family "Bacterial small subunit ribosomal RNA", at positions 870 to 1255 of the family's 1533-position model. The record is from RNAcentral. Lineage: Bacteria; Pseudomonadati; Pseudomonadota; Gammaproteobacteria; Enterobacterales; Enterobacteriaceae.
CGCCUGGGGAGUACGGCCGCAAGGUUAAAACUCAAAUGAAUUGACGGGGGCCCGCACAAGCGGUGGAGCAUGUGGUUUAAUUCGAUGCAACGCGAAGAACCUUACCUGGUCUUGACAUCCACGGAAGUUUUCAGAGAUGAGAAUGUGCCUUCGGGAACCGUGAGACAGGUGCUGCAUGGCUGUCGUCAGCUCGUGUUGUGAAAUGUUGGGUUAAGUCCCGCAACGAGCGCAACCCUUAUCCUUUGUUGCCAGCGAUUAGGUCGGGAACUCAAAGGAGACUGCCAGUGAUAAACUGGAGGAAGGUGGGGAUGACGUCAAGUCAUCAUGGCCCUUACGACCAGGGCUACACACGUGCUACAAUGGCGCAUACAAAGAGAAGCGACCU